RNAcentral lists this ribosomal RNA (1497 nucleotides) under metagenome. Its description in RNAcentral is "bacterial LSU rRNA". It matches the Rfam family "Bacterial large subunit ribosomal RNA", at positions 1435 to 2925 of the family's 2925-position model. The record is from RNAcentral.
AUUCCUGUACCACCUAUAUGACUGAUGGAGUGACGGAGAAAGCUAACGAGGGCCAGUUAUUGGAUUCUGGUCUAAGUGCGUAGGCUAGUAUGUUGGUAAAUCCGCAAUACUAUUACAGCUGAAACAUUAUGGGGAAGCAAACCUUCGGGUGAGCGAACUCUCGUGAUGCUAUGCUUCCAAGAAAAGCUUCUAGGGCUAAUUGUAUAGGUGCCUGUACCGACAACCGACUCAGGUGGUCAAGGAGAGUAUCCUAAGGUGAGCGAGAGAACUAUGGUUAAGGAACUCGGCAAAAUGACCCCGUAACUUCGGGAGAAGGGGUGGUCUAGCGAUAGACCCGCAGUGAAUAGACCCAGGCAACUGUUACCAAAAACACAGGUCUCUGCUAACACGUAAGUGGAUGUAUAGGGGCUGACGCCUGCCCAGUGCUGGAAGGUUAAAGAGAUUGGUUAGUAUGACGCAAGUCGAUAAUACGAAGCUUUGAACUGAAGCCCCAGUGAACGGCGGCCGUAACAAUAACGGUCCUAAGGUAGCGAAAUUCCUUGUCAGGUAAGUUCUGACCCGCACGAAAGGCGUAAUGAUCUGGGUACUGUCUCAACCAUAGACUCGGUGAAAUCUUAAUACCUGUGAAAAUGCAGGUUACCCGCGACUGGACGGAAAGACCCCGUGGAGCUUUACUGUAGCUUGAUAUUGGAAUUCGGUAAAUUAUGUAGAGUAUAGGUGGGAGACUUUGAGACUAAAGCGCCAGCUUUAGUGGAGUCAACAUUGGAAUACCACCCUUAGUUUAUUGGAUUUCUAACCUAGGACCAUUAUCUGGUUCAGGGACAGUGUCUGGUGGGCAGUUUGACUGGGGCGGUCGCCUCCUAAAAUGUAACGGAGGCGUUCAAAGGUUCCCUCAGAAUGGUUGGAAAUCAUUCGCAGAGCAUAAAGGUAUAUAGGGAGCUUGACUGCGAGACCUACAAGUCAAGCAGGUGCGAAAGCAGGACUUAGUGAUCAGGCGAUUCAGAAUGGAAUGGUCGUCGCUUAACGGAUAAAAGUUACCCCGGGGAUAACAGGCUGAUACCACCCAAUAGUUCACAUAGACGGUGGUGUUUGGCACCUCGAUGUCGGCUCGUCAUAUCCUGGAGGUGGAGUCGCUUCCAAGGGUUGGGCUGUUCGCCCAUUAAAAUGGCACGCGAGCUGGGUUCAGAACGUCGUGAGACAGUUCGGUCCCUAUCCGUCGUGGGCGCAGGAAAAUUGAGGAGAGCUAUCCUUAGUACGAGAGGACCGGGAUGGACCUACCUCUGGUGUAUCUGUUGUCACGCCAGUGGCAGUGCAGAGUAGCUAUGUAGGGAAGGGAUAAACGCUGAAAGCAUCUAAGCGUGAAGCCCCCCUCCAAGAUGAGUUUUCCCAUUGUUUAACAAGUAAAAUCCCAGAUAGACUAACUGGUUGAUAGGCUAGAAGUGGAAGUGUAGCGAUACAUUGAGCGGACUAGUACUAAUAGAUUGAGGAUUUAAUCGG